Molecule: ribosomal RNA, 433 nt
Filed under: uncultured bacterium
Lineage: Bacteria
Description: partial 16S ribosomal RNA
Rfam family: Bacterial small subunit ribosomal RNA
Source: RNAcentral
AACGAACGCUGGCGGCAUGCCUAACACAUGCAAGUCGAACGAGACCUUCGGGUCUAGUGGCGCACGGGUGCGUAACGCGUGGGAACCUGCCCUUAGGUUCGGAAUAACUCCCAGAAAGGGGUGCUAAUACCGGAUAAUGUCUUCGGACCAAAGAUUUAUCGCCUUUGGAUGGGCCCGCGUUGGAUUAGCUAGUUGGUAGGGUAAAAGCCUACCAAGGCGACGAUCCAUAGCUGGUCUGAGAGGAUGAUCAGCCACACUGGGACUGAGACACGGCCCAGACUCCUACGGGAGGCAGCAGUGGGGAAUAUUGGACAAUGGGCGAAAGUCUGAUCCAGCAAUGCCGCGUGAGUGAUGAAGGCCUUAGGGUUGUAAAGCUCUUUUACCCGGGAUGAUAAUGACAGUACCGGGAGAAUAAGCUCCGGCUAACUCCGUG